UACGUAGGGACCAAGCGUUGUUCGGAUUUACUGGGCGUAAAGGGCGCGUAGGCGGCAAUUCAAGUCAUCUGUGAAAUCUCCGGGCUUAACCCGGAACGGUCAGGUGAUACUGUUUUGCUAGAGUGCGGAAGGGGCAAUCGGAAUUCUCAGUGUAGCGGUGAAAUGCGUAGAUAUCGAGAGGAACACCAGAGGUGAAGACGGGUUGCUGGGCCGACACUGACGCUGACAGCGCGAAAGCCAGGGGAGCAAACGGG
RNAcentral lists this ribosomal RNA (254 nucleotides) under uncultured bacterium. Its description in RNAcentral is "partial 16S ribosomal RNA". It matches the Rfam family "Bacterial small subunit ribosomal RNA", at positions 524 to 776 of the family's 1533-position model. The record is from RNAcentral.